This 346-nucleotide ribosomal RNA is filed under the name uncultured bacterium. RNAcentral's name for it is "partial 16S ribosomal RNA". It matches the Rfam family "Bacterial small subunit ribosomal RNA", at positions 338 to 699 of the family's 1533-position model. The record is from RNAcentral.
CCUACGGGUGGCAGCAGUGGGGAAUAUUGGGCAAUGGGCGCAAGCCUGAACCAGCCAUGCCGCGUGAAGGUAGGAGGCUUUCGGGUUGUAAACUUCUUUUAAGAGGGAGGAGCAGAAGACGGUACCUCUUGAAUAAGACACGGCUAACAACGGGCAAGCAGCCGCGGUAAUCCGGAGGUGGCAGGCUUUGUACGGAUUUACGGGUUGUAAAGGGCGUGUAGCCGGGAUGUCAAGUAAGAUGUGAAAUCCCGUGGUUCAACCACGGAACUGCAUUUGAAACUGUCGGUCUGGAGUAUCGGUGAGGCAGGCGGAAUGCGUAGUGUAGCGGUGAAAUGCGUAGAUAUUA